AAGUCGUAACAAGGUUUCCGUAGGUGAACCUGCGGAAGGAUCAUUAACGAAUAACUAUGGUGUCUUGGUUGUAGCUGGCUCCUCGGAGCAUUGUGCACGCCCGCCAUUUUUAUCUAUCCACCUGUGCACCGACUGUAGGUCUGGAUGACUCUCGUGCUCUCUGAGUGCGGAUGCGAGGAUUGCCCUCUUGAGGUGUCUCUCCUCGAAUUUCCAGGCUCUACGUCUUUUUACGCACCCCACAAGUAUGAUAUAGAAUGUAGUCAAUGGGCUUGAUCGCCUAUAAAACACUAUACAACUUUCAGCAACGGAUCUCUUGGCUCUC
Molecule: unclassified non-coding RNA, 322 nt
Filed under: Coprinellus micaceus
Lineage: Eukaryota; Fungi; Basidiomycota; Agaricomycetes; Agaricales; Psathyrellaceae
Description: partial internal transcribed spacer region
Rfam family: Eukaryotic small subunit ribosomal RNA (bases 1-46)
Source: RNAcentral